GACGAACGCUGGCGGCAUGCCUAACACAUGCAAGUCGAGCGAGCAGAUCCCUUCGGGGUGAAGCUAGCGGCGGACGGGUGAGUAACACGUGGGCAACCUGCCUCAUAGAGGGGAAUAGCCUUCCGAAAGGAAGAUUAAUACCGCAUAAGAUUGUGGCUUCGCAUGAAGCAGCAAUUAAAGGAGCAAUCCGCUAUGAGAUGGGCCCGCGGCGCAUUAGCUAGUUGGUGAGGUAACGGCUCACCAAGGCGACGAUGCGUAGCCGACCUGAGAGGGUGAUCGGCCACAUUGGGACUGUGACACGGCCCAGACUCCUACGGGAGGCAGCAGUGGGGAAUAUUGCACAAUGGGGGGAACCCUGAUGCAGCAAUGCCGCGUGAGUGAUGACGGCCUUCGGGUUGUAAAGCUCUGUCUUCGGGGACGAUAAUGACGGUACCCGAGGAGGAAGCCACGGCUAACUACGUGCCAGCCGCCGCAGUAA
This 478-nucleotide ribosomal RNA is filed under the name uncultured bacterium. Its description in RNAcentral is "partial 16S ribosomal RNA". It matches the Rfam family "Bacterial small subunit ribosomal RNA", at positions 28 to 523 of the family's 1533-position model. The record is from RNAcentral.